AAAUGUUUCAGUGAAAUCAACCCCCUCAAUCUGGGUGUCUCCUCUAAUAAUAAGCCUAGUUUUAUACCUUUCAACACUGCCAUCAGCUUUAUAUUUUAUCUUAUAGACCCAUUUGCAACCUAUGGGUUUCUUACCAGGAGGAAGGGGAACAAUAUCUCAAGUGUGGUUGGCAUCCAAUGCAUCAUACUCCUUUCUCAUGGCAUCCUGCCAAGCUGGAACUGUGGCAGCUUGAGAAUAAUAAAGAGGUUCAGAUUCCAGACUGGAAGUAGAGGAAGAGGAUCCAGAAAAAGAAGGUAGUUGACAAACAUAGUCUUUGAGAUAAGAAGGAGUGGUGUGUUGCCUUCCAGAUCUUCGGUUAAUAGGAGGAUGUGUAGAGGAAGAAAUAGUAGGAGGUGGAAUAUCAGGAUUGAAGGAUGCAGAAGGAAAAGGUUUAGAAUGUGUGGAGUCAGAAGCAAAAGAAGGAGCAUAGCUGGAAGCAGAAGGAAAAGAAUUAGAAGGAAAGGGAACAUUGGAACCAGGUGGGACAGAAAUGUGUGUCCCAGAAUCUUGGUGAUCAGAAAAAGGGACAAGAGGAGGUGGAAAAGAAGGGGAACCAGAAGUAAUAGCAGAAUUAGAUGCAAAAGGAAAACAUGUCUCAUGAAACACAACAUCCCUGGACACAAAGCAUCUUUUGGAAACUAGAUCAUACAACUUGUAACCCUUUUUUGCAAAAGGAUAUCCUAGAAAAACACAUGAAAGUGCUCUAGGUUUUAGUUUAUCUCUCUGUAGAAUGGGGACAGCAGCAUAAGCAAGACAACCAAAUGCUCUCAAAUGUGAGUAAUUAGGGGUCUUACCAUAUAGCACUUCAUAAGGGGAUUUGUUUUGAAGGAUUCUGGAUGGAAUCCUAUUGAGCAGAUAUGUGGCAGUUAAUAAACAAUCCCCCCAAAAUGAUACAGGCAGUUUGGACUGAAAAAGUAAAGCUCUACAAGCUUCAAGAAGUGUUCUGUGUUUCCUUUCAACAACACCAUUUUGUUGAGGAGUGUGGAGACAGGAAAUUUGAUGGAUAAUACCCUGUUGGUUGAAGAAAGAAACCCCAUCAAGGCCGGACCCUAAUUCCAAGGCAUUGUCACUUCUUAUAAUUUGAACAGUAGCACCAAACUGAGUUUUAACCAUAGACAAGAAAGUCUUAAUUAUGCAAAAAGCACUGGUCUUAGAUCCUAGUAGGUGUGUCCAGGUGGCCCUAGAAAAAUCAUCCACUAAUGUAAGGAAAUAUCUUGAUCCAGAGGAAGUUGGUGUAUGGUAAGGGCCCCAAGUAUCUACAUGAAUUAAUUGGAAAGGUCUGCUUGUACUGAUGGAACUAUUAGGGAAAAGAAGCCUAGUUUGCCUAGUCAUAGGACAAAUAGAGCAAGGAAAUGAUUGUUUAGGAGCAAGGGAAAGGGACAAGGCAGAAAUAUGUUUCAUAUUUGCAAAAGGAAUGUGAGCAAGUCUUAAGUGCCAAAUGAAGUUCAUAUCAUUUCCACUAGCAUUAUUACAAAUGGAGUUAUUUACAGUGAAAGGCAAAGGAACAACUUUAGAGCUAGAGGCACAAACAGAAAAUUUCCACUAGAAUUAUUACAAAUGGAGUUAUUUACAGCGAAAGGCAAAGGAACAGCAUUAGAGCUAGAGGCACAAACAGAAUUAUAAGAAUCAGAAUAAGAACACACUGAAACAGGUUUGCAAGAACUAGAAGAGGAAUCUGAGGGUGGCAUCCAAGCAAACUUGUACAGUACAUCCUUCUCCUUACCAAGAUCCAGAGGCAUCCUCAGAGAAGGGGCCUGUAACAUGUGAAGAAAAUAGAAAGUUGCAGUAAACAAGACUAUACAGUGCAACUGCUUUAUCAGUUUGUGGACAGAGAUUAAGUUGUGUUUGAAAGAAGGAACAAACAACACAUUAUGAAGUGUGAUGAAUGGGGUAAAAGCAAUGGAUCCCGUGGAGGUCACUUUUACUUUGUAUCCAUUGGAAAGAGUCACAAGAUAAGGUACAGUUAAGGGUGUGAUAUUAAAG
This 2022-nucleotide long non-coding RNA is filed under the name Nicotiana benthamiana. RNAcentral describes it as "long non-coding RNA (NBEN_LNC035039)". Lineage: Eukaryota; Viridiplantae; Streptophyta; Magnoliopsida; Solanales; Solanaceae. The record is from RNAcentral.